RNAcentral lists this small nucleolar RNA (82 nucleotides) under Hordeum vulgare. Its description in RNAcentral is "Small nucleolar RNA Z102/R77". It matches the Rfam family "Small nucleolar RNA Z102/R77". From Rfam's summary of the family: Z102 and R77 and are members of the C/D class of snoRNA which contain the C (UGAUGA) and D (CUGA) box motifs. Most of the members of the box C/D family function in directing site-specific 2'-O-methylation of substrate RNAs. Lineage: Eukaryota; Viridiplantae; Streptophyta; Magnoliopsida; Poales; Poaceae. The record is from RNAcentral.
AAGUGUGAUGAUGAAUGAUUAAUUUCCCUAUUGGUUUGACUGGCCAACAUGAUGGCCCAAAUGCAGAACAGUCUGAUCAUCA